Molecule: ribosomal RNA, 524 nt
Filed under: uncultured bacterium
Lineage: Bacteria
Description: bacterial SSU rRNA
Rfam family: Bacterial small subunit ribosomal RNA
Source: RNAcentral
UGGGGAAUAUUGCACAAUGGGGGAAACCCUGAUGCAGCGACGCCGCGUGGGUGAAGAAGUAUUUCGGUAUGUAAAGCUCUAUCAGCAGGGAAGAUAAUGACAGUACCUGACUAAGAAGCCCCGGCUAACUACGUGCCAGCAGCCGCGGUAAUACGUAGGGGGCAAGCGUUAUCCGGAUUUACUGGGUGUAAAGGGAGCGUAGACGGAGUGGCAAGUCUGAAGUGAAAACCCUGGGCUUAACCUGGGGACUGCUUUGGAAACUGUUAAUCUAGAGUGUUGGAGAGGUAAGUGGAAUUCCUGGUGUAGCGGUGAAAUGCGUAGAUAUCAGGAAGAACACCGGAGGCGAAGGCGGCUUACUGGACAAUAACUGACGUUGAGGCUCGAAAGCGUGGGGAUCAAACAGGAUUAGAUACCCUGGUAGUCCACGCUGUAAACGAUGAAUACUAGGUGUCGGGGAGCAAAGCUUCUCGGUGCCGUCGCUAACGCAACAAGUAUUCCACCUGGGGAGUACGUUCGCAAGAAUG